Molecule: long non-coding RNA, 495 nt
Filed under: Carica papaya (papaya)
Lineage: Eukaryota; Viridiplantae; Streptophyta; Magnoliopsida; Brassicales; Caricaceae
Description: long non-coding RNA (CPAP_LNC005249)
Source: RNAcentral
CCCUAACCGGACUCAGAUUCUUCACCGUCUACGGCCCUUGGGGUAGACCCGACAUGGCUUACUUCUUCUUCACCAAAGAUAUCCUACAAGGCAAAUCGAUUGAUGUCUACCAGACCCAUGACCAGAAGGAGGUGGCGCGUGACUUCACCUACAUUGACGACGUCGUGAAAGGGUGCCUCGGAGCGCUGGACACGGCGGAGAAAAGCACCGGAAGCGGCGGCAAGAAAAGAGGACCCGCUCAGCUCAGAAUCUACAAUCUCGGCAACACUGCGCCGGUUCCGGUGGGAAGACUGGUAUCUAUCCUCGAAGGUUUGUUGAACACGAAGGCGAAGCGCCACGUAAUCACCAUGCCCCGAAACGGCGACGUUCCGUACACGCACGCCAAUGUGAGCUUGGCGUUCAGAGAUUUCGGAUACAAACCGACCACCGAUUUGGCGUCCGGGUUAAGAAAAUUCGUCAAGUGGUACGUUAGUUAUUACGGGAUUCAUCCGAGGG